GGAGAGGUGUCCGAGUGGUUUAUGGAACUGGUCUUGAAAACCAGCGAUUCGCGUGAGCGGACCAUGGGUUCGAAUCCCAUCCUCUCCGCCA
RNAcentral lists this transfer RNA (91 nucleotides) under Subdoligranulum variabile. RNAcentral describes it as "tRNA-Ser". It matches the Rfam family "tRNA". From Rfam's summary of the family: Transfer RNA (tRNA) molecules are approximately 80 nucleotides in length. Their secondary structure includes four short double-helical elements and three loops (D, anti-codon, and T loops). Further hydrogen bonds mediate the characteristic L-shaped molecular structure. tRNAs have two regions of fundamental functional importance: the anti-codon, which is responsible for specific mRNA codon recognition, and the 3' end, to which the tRNAs corresponding amino acid is attached (by aminoacyl-tRNA synthetases). tRNAs cope with the degeneracy of the genetic code in two manners: having more than one tRNA (with a specific anti-codon) for a particular amino acid; and 'wobble' base-pairing, i.e. permitting non-standard base-pairing at the 3rd anti-codon position. The record is from RNAcentral. RNAcentral also lists the same sequence under 6 other names. Lineage: Bacteria; Bacillati; Bacillota; Clostridia; Eubacteriales; Oscillospiraceae.